UACGAAGGGGGCUAGCGUUGCUCGGAAUCACUGGGCGUAAAGCGCACGUAGGCGGAUUGCUAAGUCAGGGGUGAAAUCCUGGAGCUCAACUCCAGAACUGCCUUUGAUACUGGCGAUCUCGAGUUCGGGAGAGGUGAGUGGAACUGCGAGUGUAGAGGUGAAAUUCGUAGAUAUUCGCAAGAACACCAGUGGCGAAGGCGGCUCACUGGCCCGAUACUGACGCUGAUGUGCGAAAGCGUGGGGAGCAAACAGG
Molecule: ribosomal RNA, 253 nt
Filed under: uncultured bacterium
Lineage: Bacteria
Description: partial 16S ribosomal RNA
Rfam family: Bacterial small subunit ribosomal RNA
Source: RNAcentral